UCAACCAGCCCAUGUCUGCACCUGGACAAGGCACUCACUAAAGCAUGAGGAAAGUGCGUGCCCUGCUCUGCAAUGCACAGUGGUCCUACAGAAUACAUAAUCAGCUGCUCACAGCUCACCUUAAGAUGGAGUCAGGACUUUGAGUGUGGCACACAUCUGCAUCUCCAUAAACCGUGUGGACUGUCUACAACUGAACUUUAAAGAUAAGGAAGGAACAAGAAACUAAAAAUGGAUCAAUGGGCCUAACCCAGAAAUAUCAAAUAUACCACAUUCAGAAGAGAAGGCAAGCAGUGUAACUAAGCAUGCUCCUGUGUCCAGAGACUAAAGACUAGAAGCAAUGAAGACUGACAGCUUACCUCCUCCAACCCCCAGACAACCACCAAGAAGCUAUUACUGAAAAAAUCAAAUAAAUAAAAACCUUCAAA
Non-coding RNA from Coturnix japonica (Japanese quail), 425 nucleotides. The record is from RefSeq and is a predicted model, not a curated record. NCBI's taxonomy places the organism in Eukaryota, Metazoa, Chordata, Aves, Galliformes, Phasianidae.